GACGAACGCUGGCGGCGUGCCUAAUACAUGCAAGUCGAACGGAAAGGCCCUGCUCUUGUGGCGUUCUCGAGUGGCGAACGGGUGAGUAUCACGCGUGUAACCUCCCCCUUUCUUUGGGGUAACACCUGGAGACACGGGCUCUUAUACGGUAUGAGCUCUUGCAGCAUAGGGUUGAUUGAUAAGAUUCGGCGGUUCGGGAUGGACUCGCGGCUUAUCAGCUUGUUGGUGAGGUAGUGGCUUACCAAGGCUUCGACGGGUAGCCGGCCUGAGAGGGUGACCGGGCACAUGGGGCCUGGGGUAGGGGCCAGACGGCAACGGGAGGCAGCGGGGGGAAACAUGGCGAAAUGGGCCGAAGGCUGAAAGAACGAUGUCGGGUGCGGAAAGACGGCUUGUGGGGUAUAAACCGCUUUAGACUGUAACGAACAGUGAGUGACGGUAACGAGUAAGAAAGCAACGGCUAACUACGUG
RNAcentral lists this ribosomal RNA (468 nucleotides) under uncultured bacterium. Its description in RNAcentral is "partial 16S ribosomal RNA". It matches the Rfam family "Bacterial small subunit ribosomal RNA", at positions 28 to 507 of the family's 1533-position model. The record is from RNAcentral.